Molecule: transfer RNA, 72 nt
Filed under: Bos taurus (domestic cattle)
Lineage: Eukaryota; Metazoa; Chordata; Mammalia; Artiodactyla; Bovidae
Also listed under: 3 other names
Rfam family: tRNA
About the family: Transfer RNA (tRNA) molecules are approximately 80 nucleotides in length.
Source: Rfam by way of RNAcentral
UCCCUGGUAGCUCAGAUGGUAAAGCAUCAGCCUACAAUGCAGAAGACCCGAGUUCAAUCCCUGGGUUGGGAA